This 460-nucleotide ribosomal RNA is filed under the name uncultured bacterium. RNAcentral describes it as "partial 16S ribosomal RNA". It matches the Rfam family "Bacterial small subunit ribosomal RNA", at positions 338 to 795 of the family's 1533-position model. The record is from RNAcentral.
CCUACGGGAGGCAGCAGUGAGGAAUAUUGGUCAAUGGACGCAAGUCUGAACCAGCCAUGCCGCGUGCAGGAAGACGGCUCUAUGAGUUGUAAACUGCUUUUGUACGAGGGUAAACGCAGAUACGCGUAUCUGUCUGAAAGUAUCGUACGAAUACGGAUCGGCUAACUCCGUGCCAGCAGCCGCGGUAAUACGGAGGGUUCAAGCGUUAUCCGGAUUUAUUGGGUUUAAAGGGUGCGUAGGCGGUCGGAUAAGUUAGAGGUGAAAUCCCGAGGCUCAACUUCGGAAUUGCCUCUGAUACUGUACGGCUAGAGAGUAGUAGCGGUAGGCGGAAUGUAUGGUGUAGCGGUGAAAUGCUGAGAGAUCAGACAGAACACCGAUUGCGAAGGCAGCUUACCAAGCUACUUCUGACGUUGAGGCACGAAAGCGUGGGGAGCAAACAGGAUUAGAUACCCGAGUAGUC